AAUAAUAAUAAUUUAAAAAAAUAAAGCUACAUACUCUGUCCCUGAGGCAAUGGUUCUUAACCUUUUCUGGGUGAUGUAGGGAAGAGUGAUCGCACACCUGCUGAGACCCUGUUAAAAGCUAUGGACUCUUUCCUCAGGAAAAAAGCACACAUAAACUCUCACGCAGCUGCAGGGGCUUUCAGAGGCUCACAAACUCCUGAGGUCCAUUCUUGGAGUCCAGAUUCAGAAUCCCUGGUGCAAUCCCAAGCCUUUGGCACUCCCUGGAGCCUGAAAUCCCCAAGUUCCUUUUGGGCCAAACUGGUUAAACAUGGAUUUUGAAAAAAGGAACAAAGCCAGGGAUAGAAUUAGCUCAGCACUCCCAGGGGGCUGCCUCACAGCAAGCACUUUAAAGUGUGUGAGAGAGAAUAUGAUGCAGAGGAAGAAUUUCUUGUACUCUGAGUACCGCUGAAAAGCAUUCAAUUUGGGAGGGCUCCACGGACAGGAAGAACCAGAAGGUAAAUCCCAAGUUGGUACCUCUGACUUCCUAUGUCCCAUGCCUUUGGGAUGGGGCGGGGAGGGGAGUGUGGGGGUAGGAACAGGAGUUUUGCUUUAAUUCUGAGUUGGAUGUCCUCUUGCUUUGAAAGAUCUCUCAAGAAGCUGUACCAAGAACCAAACUCCAAGACCUCUACCAACUGUCAUUGCACAGGGGACUGCUAGGACCUAGGAGGAGGGCCUGCAGUUUCAGAGCCAUUUGUGGGGAAAGGAGGCAGCACCCUAGGAAACAUCCCUUCCUAAAAUGUGCACACACGUGCUAAAAGCAGCCGCUGAUGGGCUGGGGAAGAGAGGCCUGGCUCUCUGGGGCUUCAUCCUUUCAUCCUGCUUCUGAGGCUGCUCGAACUCUUGUAACAUCUCAGAGCUGCUCCAUCAGACCCUGUAACACGGACACCUUGGUGUCUUAGAAGGAGAUAAGGACAGAAUCUGUGGGAAGCCUCCACUGUAGCCUGAAAGUUCCAUGGUGAAGAUGGGGUUCCCAGCAGCCAGCCCAGGGGAGUGACAGUCACAGGCCUCCCAGAGACCUGGCCCAGGAGUUUCCUCAAUACGCUUCUUGGAGGCUUUAUGAAGCAGAAGCGUGGCUAGGGCUCUGGGAGGCAGGAAGACCUGAUUUGAGUCUCAGCUCCCCACAGUGAGCAAGAUGUAUAAUUCACUCAGCCUCCACCUCUGCACCUGCAAAAUGGGGACAAUGACAGAACCUCUUCCUUAAGGACAUUAGGAAGACUCAAGGUAAUGCCUCCACAGCACACUGCUCAGCACUCCCCACCCCACCUUACGGAUGAGGCUGCCCCAGCUCUGGAGCACCCCCGGAGGUCAGCCACAGUCUUUGCUGCAACACCAUCACAGUGGAGCAUCUCCCUUUGCACCAUCCUGUGUGCCUUGCGAGUAUUCAUUCCAAAGUACUGCCAGAUAAACUUGCUGCAUGCAAACCUCCGUCUCCGAGUCAGCUUCCUAGGAACCUGAGACUUGAGGCGAGAUCCCUUAGGGAGCAAAUGAAGUGAGAACAGCCUUGACAAACAAUUCUGGAGGAACAGUAGGGACAAAAACCUCACUGGAGUGGAUUCAAGAAAGAAUGAAAGGAGAGAAACAGCACAGCAAGGAUAGGCAACUCUUUCCAGGAGUUUUGCUGUUUUACUAGGAGCACAGAGAUGCAGAAACAGCAUGCCAUUUUCCCAGGGCUACUGCACGUGCUGAAAUCGGGCCCUAGAUAUGGACACCUGUCCUGUCUGCCUCAGUCUCAACUGCACACAGAUGUUUCUUAUGCUUCAUCCAAAUUGUCCAGUUGUUCUCAGCAGAAGAACUGCUCUGAUACAAGCUAGUUCAUUCUAGCUGGGAGCAGAAGUGCAAGGCCUCGGCCUUGGGUGAUGUCCAGAGUUGAGUGUCGGGAUCUCUGAAGACACAGGAGGCAGCUCCCUCUUGGCUGGGCCUACCUCUGCAGGACAAAAGCCUCCAGCCCUUGGGUAAAGGCAGAUGCCUGGCCUCCCCCGACUCCAACUCUCCUCAGUCACACCUGCCUGCCUACAGCUCCAGCACCACAGAAGAUACCCAGUAAAGCCACUAGCAACCUUCCCACUAGGCCCCCAGAUCUGGCUUAUUAAAUUGUCUUCUGUCACAAGGACCACUUACUUACAACAGCUGUUGCUGUGGCAACCAGGCAGCCAGCCUUCCGCUCCAGCUAACAGCCAUGAAGCUCCUGCUGACUACUUGGCUUGGGCAACUGCAGGGGAAGUUGCCCCCAAAGUGUCUGUGAGGAUGGAACAUGGUGGAGGACGUGGGAAGUGGCGACAGGGAACGGGAGGCUGAUUGUGAAGUGCAGAGAUUUGGAAUUGUUCUAUCAUUCCCUACCAACAGGUUGGAAGAGCUAUGAGAUGACUCCCGCCAGAGGGGUUCCCACACCUUCUUGUGAUAUAGGCCACUUCUCCAGCAACACCUCCUUACCCACUCCACUCCCUAUCUACAAGCUGAAGGAGGGAGGGCCCUCCAGGGGCAGAGAGAGGGCCACACACAGCUAGAACAGAAUCCUGCCAAUGCAGGUGAAGGGCGCUGGGCACUCACCAGCCCUGAGAAAGAGGGGGGCAUCAGGAACUGGCAUUGGCAGGCCCCAACGUUGCUGUUGAGAGGCUGUAACUCCUCUGCCCUCCUGACUCUUCCUGAGAGAGGGGCUGCUUUCUUUAACCAGUCCUGAAUGUCUCUAGUCUGAACUUGUAGCUGAGUGACUAGAGAUUUUGAAGUUGCAUAGAUGAGUGUUCAAACCUUAGUUUUUUCAGUUGCUACCUGUUUAACAUGAGGCAAAUUACUUAACCUCUCUGAGCCUCAGUUUUUGUAGCUGUAAAAUAGGGGUGAGUACAGUACCGACCAACAAACUGUUUCAAGGAUUAAUUGAGAUCGAGCACAUAAAGUAUGUAAGACACAAUGCUGGCACAUAACAAGCUCUCAGUAAGUCGGUAGUAUUAUAGUUAUUAUUGCUAUUGUUAUCAUCACCGACGAUUAUGUCACUAGAAGACCUAGAGGCUGAACACAUAAUUGAGAGACUUAGAAGAACUGAGAAUGAUAAAAGAAACCUCAGCAUGUGAUCUACAAUAUGGUAUUAUUUUUGUUUUUAAAAAAAUGUUAACUGGAUAUCUCUAA
RNAcentral lists this long non-coding RNA (3159 nucleotides) under Homo sapiens (human). Its description in RNAcentral is "HSALNT0377735". Lineage: Eukaryota; Metazoa; Chordata; Mammalia; Primates; Hominidae. The record is from RNAcentral.